GACGAACGCUGGCGGCGUGCUUAACACAUGCAAGUCGAACGAAGAGCGACGGAAGCUUGCUUCUAUCAAUCUUAGUGGCGAACGGGUGAGUAACGCGUAAUCAACCUGCCCUUCAGAGGGGGACAACAGUUGGAAACGACUGCUAAUACCGCAUACGAUCUAAUCUCGGCAUCGAGGAUGGAUGAAAGGUGGCCUCUACAUGUAAGCUAUCACUGAAGGAGGGGAUUGCGUCUGAUUAGCUAGUUGGAGGGGUAGCGGCCCACCAAGGCGAUGAUCAGUAGCCGGUCUGAGAGGAUGAACGGCCACAUUGGGACUGAGACACGGCCCAGACUCCUACGGGAGGCAGCAGUGGGGAAUCUUCCGCAAUGGACGAAAGUCUAACGGAGCAACGCCGCGUGAGUGAUGACGGCCUUCGGGUUGUAAAGCUCUGUUAAUCGGGACGAAAGGCCUUCUUGCGAAUAGUGAGAAGGAUUGACGGUACCGGAAUAGAAAGCCACGGCUAACUACGUG
Molecule: ribosomal RNA, 510 nt
Filed under: uncultured bacterium
Lineage: Bacteria
Description: partial 16S ribosomal RNA
Rfam family: Bacterial small subunit ribosomal RNA
Source: RNAcentral